ACCGACUUACGUUGAAAAGUGAGCGGAUGAACUGAGGGUAGCGGAGAAAUUCCAAUCGAACCUGGAGAUAGCUGGUUCUCUCCGAAAUAGCUUUAGGGCUAGCCUCAAGUGAUGAUUAUUGGAGGUAGAGCACUGUUUGGACGAGGGGCCCCUCUCGGGUUACCGAAUUCAGACAAACUCCGAAUGCCAAUUAAUUUAACUUGGGAGUCAGAACAUGGGUGAUAAGGUCCGUGUUCGAAAGGGAAACAGCCCAGACCACCAGCUAAGGUCCCAAAAUAUAUGUUAAGUGGAAAAGGAUGUGGCGUUGCCCAGACAACUAGGAUGUUGGCUUAGAAGCAGCCAUCAUUUAAAGAGUGCGUAAUAGCUCACUAGUCGAGUGACACUGCGCCGAAAAUGUACCGGGGCUAAACAUAUUACCGAAGCUGUGGAUUGUCCUUUGGACAAUGGUAGGAGAGCGUUCUAAGGGCGUUGAAGCAUGAUCGUAAGGACAUGUGGAGCGCUUAGAAGUGAGAAUGCCGGUGUGAGUAGCGAAAGACGGGUGAGAAUCCCGUCCACCGAUUGACUAAGGUUUCCAGAGGAAGGCUCGUCCGCUCUGGGUUAGUCGGGUCCUAAGCUGAGGCCGACAGGCGUAGGCGAUGGAUAACAGGUUGAUAUUCCUGUACCACCUAUAAUCGUUUUAAUCGAUGGGGGGACGCAGUAGGAUAGGCGAAGCGUGCGAUUGGAUUGCACGUCUAAGCAGUAAGGCUGAGUAUUAGGCAAAUCCGGUACUCAUUAAGGCUGAGCUGUGAUGGGGAGAAGACAUUGUGUCUUCGAGUCGUUGAUUUCACACUGCCGAGAAAAGCCUCUAGAUAGAAAAUAGGUGCCCGUACCGCAAACCGACACAGGUAGUCAAGAUGAGAAUUCUAAGGUGAGCGAGCGAACUCUCGUUAAGGAACUCGGCAAAAUGACCCCGUAACUUCGGGAGAAGGGGUGCUCUUUAGGGUUAAC
This 987-nucleotide ribosomal RNA is filed under the name Staphylococcus aureus. RNAcentral's name for it is "partial 23S ribosomal RNA". It matches the Rfam family "Bacterial large subunit ribosomal RNA", at positions 778 to 1765 of the family's 2925-position model. The record is from RNAcentral. Lineage: Bacteria; Bacillati; Bacillota; Bacilli; Caryophanales; Staphylococcaceae.